RNAcentral lists this ribosomal RNA (346 nucleotides) under uncultured bacterium. RNAcentral describes it as "bacterial SSU rRNA". It matches the Rfam family "Bacterial small subunit ribosomal RNA", at positions 8 to 334 of the family's 1533-position model. The record is from RNAcentral.
AGGGUUUGAUUAUGGCUCAGGAUGAACGCUGGCGGCGUGCUUAACACAUGCAAGUCGAACGAAGCACUUGAUUUGAUUUUCUUCGGAGAUGAAGAUCCUGUGACUGAGUGGCGGACGGGUGAGUAACGCGUGGGCAACCUGCCUUGUACAGGGGGAUAACAGUUAGAAAUGACUGCUAAUACCGCAUAAGACCACAGCAUCACAUGAUGCAGGGGUAAAAACUGAGGUGGUACAAGAUGGGCCCGCGUCUGAUUAGCUGGUUGGUGAGGUAACGGCUCACCAAGGCGACGAUCAGUAGCCGACCUGAGAGGGUGACCGGCCACAUUGGGACUGAGACACGGCCCAA